This 468-nucleotide ribosomal RNA is filed under the name uncultured bacterium. Its description in RNAcentral is "partial 16S ribosomal RNA". It matches the Rfam family "Bacterial small subunit ribosomal RNA", at positions 38 to 507 of the family's 1533-position model. The record is from RNAcentral.
GGGGGGGGGGGGGGGGGGGGGGGGGGGGGGGGGGGGGGGGGGGGGGGCGGUGGGGGUGGGGGGGGCUCGGGGGGCGAGCGGGUGGGGGACGCGUGGGUGACCUGCCCUUGACUUUGGGGUAACGUCCGGGAACUGGGGCUAAGACCGGGUAGGAGCUCCUGCUGCAUGGUGGGGGUUGGCAAGUUUCGGCGGUUGGGGCUGGACUCGCGGCUUACCAGCUUGUUGGUGGGGUAGUGGCUUACCAAGGCUUUGACGGGUAGCCGGCCUGAGAGGGUGACCGGCCACAUUGGGACUGAGAUACGGCCCAGACUCCUACGGGAGGCAGCAGUGGGGAAUAUUGCACAAUGGGCGGAAGCCUGAUGCAGCAACGCCGCGUGCGGGAUGACGGCCUUCGGGUUGUAAACCGCUUUCGCCUGUGACGAAGCGUGAGUGACGGUAAUGGGUAAAGAAGCACCGGCUAACUACGUG